AGCUCCAAUAGCGUAUGUUAAAGUUGUUGCAGUUAAAAAGCUCGUAGUUGGACUUGUGCGUACCGGAUGCGGCGGUCUGCGGCCAAAAGGUCGUUGCGAUCAGCCCGUCCUGGUGCCGUAAAAUUUGCAACUGGGUCGUCGCUGGCCUUAAUUGGUCGGCGGCGCCUGCUCGGUUGCUCGUUUACUGUGAGAAAAUUGGAGUGUUCAAGGCAGGCAUGAUUGCAACUGAACAUGUUAGCAUGGAAUAAUAAGAUAGGGCUCCGGCUCCAUUUUGUUGGUUUCUAGAGCGUGGGAGUAAUGAUUGAUAGGGACAGUUGGGGGUGCUAGUAUUCAGCGGCCAGAGGUGAAAUUCAUGGAUUCGCUGAAGACUGACUUAUGCGAAAGCAUUCACCAAGGAUGUCCUCU
This 405-nucleotide ribosomal RNA is filed under the name uncultured eukaryote. Its description in RNAcentral is "SSU rRNA". It matches the Rfam family "Eukaryotic small subunit ribosomal RNA", at positions 587 to 972 of the family's 1831-position model. The record is from RNAcentral.